CAGCAGUAGCCACGGUAAUACGUAGGUGGCAAGCGUUGUCCGGAAUUAUUGGGCGUAAAGGGUACGUAGGUGGCCUUUUAAGCGUAGGGUAUAAGGCAAUGGCUCAACCAUUGUUCGCCCUAUGAACUGGAAGGCUUGAGUGCAGGAGAGGAAAGCGGAAUUCCUAGUGUAGCGGUGGAAUGCAUUGAUAUUAGGAGGAACAUCAGCGGCGAAGGCGGCUUUCUGGACUGCAACUGACACUGAGGUACGAAAGCGUGGGGAGCAAACAGGAUUAGAUACCCCAGUAGUCCCUGUCUCUUAUACA
Molecule: ribosomal RNA, 304 nt
Filed under: uncultured bacterium
Lineage: Bacteria
Description: partial 16S ribosomal RNA
Rfam family: Bacterial small subunit ribosomal RNA
Source: RNAcentral